UACGUAGGGGGCAAGCGUUGUUCGGAAUUACUGGGCUUAAAGGGCGCGUAGGCGGUAAUGUAAGUCUGAGGUGGAAUCCUUUGGCUUAACCAAAGGACUGCCUUGGAAACUGCAUUACUUGAGUCAGAUAGGGGAAGGCGGAAUUCCUGGUGUAGCAGUGAAAUGCGUAGAUAUCAGGAGGAAGGCCUGUGGUGAAGACGGCCUUCUGGGUCUUGACUGACGCUGAGGCGCGAAAGCGUGGGGAGCAAACAGG
This 253-nucleotide ribosomal RNA is filed under the name uncultured bacterium. RNAcentral describes it as "partial 16S ribosomal RNA". It matches the Rfam family "Bacterial small subunit ribosomal RNA", at positions 524 to 776 of the family's 1533-position model. The record is from RNAcentral.